CCUACGGGAGGCAGCAGUGGGGAAUAUUGGGCAAUGGGCGCAAGCCUGACCCAGCAACGCCGCGUGAAGGAAGAAGGCUUUCGGGUUGUAAACUUCUUUUCUCAGGGACGAAAAAAGUGACGGUACCUGGGGAAUAAGCCACGGCUAACUACGUGCCAGCCGACGCGGUAAUACGUAGGUGCCAAGCGUUAUCCGGUUUUAUUGGGGGUAAAGGGCGUGGAGGCGGGAGUCUAAGUCAGAGGGGAAAACUCAGGGCUCAACCCUGAGCCUGCAUUUGACACUGGGGUUCUUGAGUGCUGGAGAGGCAAUCGGAAUUCGGUGUGUAGCGGUGAAAUGCGUAGAUAUACGGAGGAACACCAGUGGCGAAGGCGGAUUGCUGGACAGUAACUGACGCUGAGGCGCGAAAGCGUGGGGAGCAAACAGGAUUAGAUACCCGUGUAGUC
This 443-nucleotide ribosomal RNA is filed under the name uncultured bacterium. Its description in RNAcentral is "partial 16S ribosomal RNA". It matches the Rfam family "Bacterial small subunit ribosomal RNA", at positions 338 to 795 of the family's 1533-position model. The record is from RNAcentral.